AGAGUUCGAUCCUGGCUCAGAAUGAACGCUGGCGGCAUGGAUUAGGCAUGCAAGUCGAACGAAGCCUUCGGGCUUAGUGGCGAAAGGGUGAGUAACGCGUGAGUAACCUGCCUUGAGGUUCGGAAUAGCCCGGGGAAACCCGGAUUAAUACCGGAUGUGGCGGACUGGUUUUAUCUGGUCUUAGCUAAAGAUUUAUCGCCUCAAGAUGGGCUCGCGUCCGAUUAGCUAGUUGGUGAGGUAACGGCUCACCAAGGCAGCGACCGGUAGCUGGUCUGAGAGGAUGGUCAGCCACACUGGGACUGAGACACUGCCCAGACUCCUACGGGAGGCUGCAGUCGAGAAUCUUCCGCAAUGCGCGAAAGCGCGACGGAGCGAUGCCGCGUGAGGGAUGACGGCCUUCGGGUUGUAAACCUCUGUCACCCGGGAUGAAUUUUGACAGUACCGGGAGAGGAAGCCACGGCUAACUACGUGCCAGCAGCCGCGGUAAUACGUAGGUGGCGAGCGUUAUUCGGAUUUAUUGGGCGUAAAGGGUCCGCAGGGGGUGAGGAAAGUCUGAUGUGAAAUGCUAGGGCUCAACCUUAGACGUGCAUUGGAAACUUCUUCACUAGAGUAUCGGAGAGGAAAGCAGAAUUCCUGGUGUAGCGGUGGAAUGCGUAGAUAUCAGGAGGAAUACCGAUGGCGAAGGCAGCUUUCUGGACGAUAACUGACCCUCAUGGACGAAAGUAGGGGUAGCAAACAGGAUUAGAUACCCUGGUAGUCCCUACCGUAAACGUUGUACACUAGGUGUUGGGGGAUUUGACCCCCUCAGCGCCCCAGCUAACGCGAUAAGUGUACCGCCUGGGGAGUACGGCCGCAAGGUUAAAACUCAAAGGAAUUGACGGGGGCCCGCACAAGCGGUGGAGCAUGUGGCUUAAUUCGAGGCGACGCGAAGAACCUUACCUGGGCUUGACAUAUAGAUGCCAGGCCGUGAAAGCGGUUUUUCCUCUUCGAGGAUGUCUAUACAGGUGCUGCAUGGCUGUCGUCAGCUCGUGUCGUGAGAUGUUCGGUUAAGUCCGGCAACGAGCGCAACCCGUGUCGUCAGUUGCCAGCAGGUAAAGCUGGGGACUCUGGCGAGACUGCCCGUGUCAAGCGGGAGGAAGGCGCGGAUGACGUCAAGUCCGUAUGGCCCUUACGCCCAGGGCUGCACACGUGCUACAAUGGCUGGUACAAUGGGCUGCAACGCUGCGAAGCGUAGCUAAUCCCUAAAACCAGUCCCAGUUCGGAUUGCAGUCUGCAACUCGACUGCAUGAAGCCGGAAUCGCUAGUAAAGGCGUAUCAGCAACGACGCCUUGAAUACGUUCCCGGGCCUUGUACACACCGCCCGUCACAUCAUGGAAGCUGGAUGCACCCGAAGUCGUUGACCCAACUUUUCGAAGAGGGAGGCGCCGAAGGUGUGCUCAGUGACUGGGAUGAAGUCGUAACAAGGUA
This 1467-nucleotide ribosomal RNA is filed under the name metagenome. Its description in RNAcentral is "bacterial SSU rRNA". It matches the Rfam family "Bacterial small subunit ribosomal RNA". The record is from RNAcentral.